AACACGAAGUGAGUGGCGAACGGGUGAGUAACACGUGGGUAACCUGCCCAGAAGUAGGGGAUAACACCUGGAAACAGAUGCUAAUACCGUAUAACAGAGAAAACCGCAUGGUUUUCUUUUAAAAGAUGGCUCUGCUAUCACUUCUGGAUGGACCCGCGGCGUAUUAGCUAGUUGGUGAGGUAAAGGCUCACCAAGGCAGUGAUACGUAGCCGACCUGAGAGGGUAAUCGGCCACAUUGGGACUGAGACACGGCCCAGACUCCUACGGGAGGCAGCAGUAGGGAAUCUUCCACAAUGGACGCAAGUCUGAUGGAGCAACGCCGCGUGAGUGAAGAAGGGUUUCGGCUCGUAAAGCUCUGUUGUUAAAGAAGAACGUGGGUAAGAGUAACUGUUUACCCAGUGACGGUAUUUAACCAGAAAGCCACGGCUAACUACGUGCCAGCAGCCGCGGUAAUACGUAGGUGGCAAGCGUUAUCCGGAUUUAUUGGGCGUAAAGCGAGCGCAGGC
RNAcentral lists this ribosomal RNA (506 nucleotides) under Pediococcus pentosaceus. RNAcentral describes it as "bacterial SSU rRNA". It matches the Rfam family "Bacterial small subunit ribosomal RNA", at positions 83 to 576 of the family's 1533-position model. Lineage: Bacteria; Bacillati; Bacillota; Bacilli; Lactobacillales; Lactobacillaceae. The record is from RNAcentral.